CGGACAGAGCUGGCGUAUCUGGCCUGUAUUCAGCCGUGCGCUCGCUGGCGUCAGGGAUGCCGCUCUCCAGAUUGGGACGGUGGCCUGUCUGCCGGUGGGUUUGUGGUGCAUUUGCAGGUGGAGUGCGCCGAGGCGCUCGGGUGCAGCGGCAUGAGCCCAGUUUUGAGGCCAGCCUCGCAAGAGGUCUGGUACCCGGACUGUUGGGGAGUGCUGUUUGCCCUGGGUGCACAAAAAGGGUAAUGGUCUCGGGCCCGGGUGGGCGCCGAGCUCGCAGUCGGAGGCGGUCGCAUGCGACACGUGCCAGCGGUCAGUUCGGUCCUGCUCGAGCUCACAUCUGCCCGUCCUCGGUGUAAAAGCCGGUCAUCUGUCCGACCCGUCUUGAAACACGGACCAAGGAGUUUAGCGUGUGCGCGAGUCAUUGGGCGUUGAAAACCCAAAGGCGCAAUGAAAGUGAAGGUCUCCCUUGCGGAGCUGAUGUGUGAUCCCGGGCGCUGCGGUGCCCGGGCGCAACAUAGUCCCGUCCCGACCGCUUGCGGUGGGGCGGAGACAGA
This 551-nucleotide ribosomal RNA is filed under the name Rotylenchus buxophilus. Its description in RNAcentral is "eukaryotic LSU rRNA". It matches the Rfam family "Eukaryotic large subunit ribosomal RNA", at positions 420 to 799 of the family's 3401-position model. Lineage: Eukaryota; Metazoa; Nematoda; Chromadorea; Rhabditida; Hoplolaimidae. The record is from RNAcentral.